GAUGAACGCUGGCGGCGUGCUUAACACAUGCAAGUCGAACGGAAAGGCCCAAGCUUGCUUGGGUACUCGAGUGGCGAACGGGUGAGUAACACGUGGGUGAUCUGCCCUGCACUUCGGGAUAAGCCUGGGAAACUGGGUCUAAUACCGGAUAGGACCACCUGUUGGAUGGUGUGGUGGGAAGUUUUUCGGUGUGGGAUGAGAUCGCGGCCUUUCAGCUUGUUGGUGGGUGAUGGCGUACCAACGCGUCGUUGGGGAGGCAGCCUGUGAGGGUGUACGGCCACACUGUGGCAGAGAGACGGCGCAGAGACCUACGGGGGGGAGCAGAGGGGAAUAUUGCGCAAUGGGCGCGAGCCUGAUGCAGCGACGCGGCGUGGGGGGGGACGGGCUCCGCGUUUUAAACUCCGUUCUCGCCUGACGAAGCGCUUUUGUGACGGUACCUGGAGAAGAAGCACCGGCUAACUACGUG
Molecule: ribosomal RNA, 466 nt
Filed under: uncultured bacterium
Lineage: Bacteria
Description: partial 16S ribosomal RNA
Rfam family: Bacterial small subunit ribosomal RNA
Source: RNAcentral